Molecule: long non-coding RNA, 240 nt
Filed under: Dromaius novaehollandiae (emu)
Lineage: Eukaryota; Metazoa; Chordata; Aves; Casuariiformes; Dromaiidae
Description: lncRNA (ENSDNVG00000003898.1)
Source: RNAcentral
GGUUGUGGAUGAGAGGACCCUGCCCGGCCGAAUGACCCCAGCUUGGCUGCUGCAACGUGUCUGCACGGACCCUCAAGGAUCACAAGUAAGAACGGAUGAAAUGAUUUCAGCGAUGGCCACCUCAAAAAAGGUCCAAUCAGGUGUUUGUGAGGAGUCUCAGCCAGCGUUCAACAGCAACAGGGCUCUCCUUGCUGCCCGUGUCCAUACGUAAGAAAUCGGCCCCACGGCGAUGGCUCGAGG